UUAAUCCACUAGGGGUGCACAUAAGCUGAGAGAGGUUUUAAAAACCUUAACCCUUUACCUGAUCUAGAUAAUGCUAGCGAAGGGAAGUGCGAUGUAUUGUUU
RNAcentral lists this non-coding RNA (102 nucleotides) under Bacillus sp. (in: firmicutes). RNAcentral's name for it is "Bacillus sp. TPP sequence". It matches the Rfam family "TPP riboswitch aptamer (THI element)". From Rfam's summary of the family: Vitamin B(1) in its active form thiamin pyrophosphate (TPP) is an essential coenzyme that is synthesised by coupling of pyrimidine and thiazole moieties in bacteria. The record is from RNAcentral. Lineage: Bacteria; Bacillati; Bacillota; Bacilli; Caryophanales; Bacillaceae.